UGACCCCGCGGCCCCGCGCGGCGGGGUCGGCGGGCUCGGGGCCCGCCUCGGGCCGGCUCAGGCCAGGCCGAGGUCGGCCA
RNAcentral lists this transfer RNA (80 nucleotides) under Cellulomonas pakistanensis. RNAcentral describes it as "tRNA-Pro". The record is from RNAcentral. Lineage: Bacteria; Bacillati; Actinomycetota; Actinomycetes; Micrococcales; Cellulomonadaceae.